This is a non-coding RNA of Pimephales promelas (fathead minnow), 952 nucleotides long. Lineage: Eukaryota; Metazoa; Chordata; Actinopteri; Cypriniformes; Leuciscidae. The record is from RefSeq and is a predicted model, not a curated record.
UCUGAAUGGUUCAAGGCUGAAAGCAUGAGUUGAAGGCACGCUUCCCAGCCGCUGAGAGCAAGAGAGCGAACAGAAAACAUGCUGUAAUCGCUGAUCUCUCGCUCACCUUCAAAUUCCCAUUCUUUUUCCAUGGCUUCGACUUUGACCUGAAAGAAGUUGAGGAGCUCCGUGGCGUUGGACAUCCAGAACAUGAGAGGUUGAAGAUAGCUUGGUGUCAGGGUACCUUGACCGCGUGGUUGCUCUGGGACGGCUGUGUCUCUUCUGAUCAGGAGGUGUCGGGCAAGCAGGUCAGGAGCUGAGAGGCAUUUCCAGAACGCCGAGGGUCAUUGCCACCAGUGUUGCCCUGACGACGUCUUAGACUCAGGUUCAUAUCACUGAUACUCCUCCUAAGUUCUGUGUUCCGCCCUCGAUGACCUCGUUCUUCUUCUGGACCACCCCCUGAAGACAUGCGGCUCCGCCUCCAACGCGCUGGAUCUCAAACCGUCGUUCAAAACCAUCCUUGGGUCUCCACAUAUCCACUAGCUGUAAGGGGCAUUCCCAGGACGCCACACCCCUUCGACACUCUGUUUGCCAUUUAAUGGCUCCAUCUGGCUGUGGAAUGGGCUUUCCAAUGACAUCACAUAACAGGAAGUCCUCGGGGGAAUAUUUCUGGAGAGCUGACCAGGUGAACAGGAAGGCUUUUGAAAAAAAGAGGAAGCAGGAAACCUGAGACAGGAUGUCGAAGACAGAGAGGCACCUGUAACCUUUAACCUUGUCAACAACAGAAUGAUGUGUCAGGAAAGAAGCAUUUGUAUCCGUAUAUGAAUGUGUGUAUACAUAUCCUAUUUGAGUGUAUACAAGAAUAAGAAGCAUUUGUAUGAAUAUACCAAUACUUAACCAUUUCUCUUGUUUAAAACCCAAAUCUAACUAAAUUUAGUGAAACUUUUUCACAAGACAAUAAUAAAAUAGUAAA